This 75-nucleotide transfer RNA is filed under the name Pseudomonadota bacterium. Its description in RNAcentral is "tRNA-Met". It matches the Rfam family "tRNA". From Rfam's summary of the family: Transfer RNA (tRNA) molecules are approximately 80 nucleotides in length. The record is from RNAcentral. RNAcentral also lists the same sequence under 2 other names. Lineage: Bacteria; Pseudomonadati; Pseudomonadota.
GGCGGAGUAGCUCAGCGGUAGAGCAGCGGAAUCAUAAUCCGUGGGUCGGGGGUUCGAAUCCCUCCUCCGCUACCA